Molecule: ribosomal RNA, 480 nt
Filed under: uncultured bacterium
Lineage: Bacteria
Description: partial 16S ribosomal RNA
Rfam family: Bacterial small subunit ribosomal RNA
Source: RNAcentral
GAUGAACGCUGGCGGCGUGCUUAACACAUGCAAGUCGAACGAUGAACCGGGUGCUUGCACUCGGGGAUUAGUGGCGAACGGGUGAGUAACACGUGAGCAACCUGCCCCUGACUCUGGGAUAAGCGCUGGAAACGGCGUCUAAUACUGGAUAUGUCCCGUCACCGCAUGGUGUGCGGGUGGAAAGAUUUUUCGGUUGGGGAUGGGCUCGCGGCCUAUCAGCUUGUUGGUGAGGUAAUGGCUCACCAAGGCGUCGACGGGUAGCCGGCCUGAGAGGGUGACCGGCCACACUGGGACUGAGACACGGACCAGACUCCUACGGGAGGCAGCAGUGGGGAAUAUUGCACAAUGGGCGGAAGCCUGAUGCAGCAACGCCGCGUGAGGGAUGACGGCCUUCGGGUUGUAAACCUCUUUCGUCCGGGACGAUAAUGACGGUACCGGAAGAAGAAGCCCCGGCUAACUUCGUGCCAGCCGCCGCGGUAA